This 426-nucleotide ribosomal RNA is filed under the name uncultured bacterium. RNAcentral describes it as "partial 16S ribosomal RNA". It matches the Rfam family "Bacterial small subunit ribosomal RNA", at positions 354 to 796 of the family's 1533-position model. The record is from RNAcentral.
GUGAGGAAUUUUCCGCAAUGGGCGAAAGCCUGACGGAGCAAUGCCGCGUGAAGGAUGAAGGCCUAUGGGUUGUAAACUUCUUUUCUCAGAAAAGAAUUAUGACGGUAUCUGAGGAAUAAGCAUCGGCUAACUCUGUGCCAGCAGCCGCGGUAAGACAGAGGAUGCAAGCGUUAUCCGGAAUGAUUGGGCGUAAAGCGUCUGUAGGUUGUUUAAAAAGUAUUCUGUCAAAGAUUAGGGCUUAACCCUAGAUAGGCAGAAUAAACUUUUAAGCUAGAGUUUGGUAGAGGCAGAGGGAAUUCCCGGUGGAACGGUGAAAUGCGUAGAUAUCGGGAGGAACACCAAAGGCGAAGGCACUCUGCUGGGCCAAUACUAACACUGAGAGACGAAAGCGAGGGGAGCAAAUGGGAUUAGAAACCCUGGUAGUCC